This 465-nucleotide ribosomal RNA is filed under the name uncultured bacterium. Its description in RNAcentral is "partial 16S ribosomal RNA". It matches the Rfam family "Bacterial small subunit ribosomal RNA", at positions 28 to 507 of the family's 1533-position model. The record is from RNAcentral.
GACGAACGCUGGCGGCGUGCUUAACACAUGCAAGUCGAACGGAAAGGCCCUGCUUGCAGGGUCCUCGAGUGGCGAACGGGUGAGUAACACGUGGGUGAUCUGCCCUGCACUUCGGGAUAAGCCUGGUAAACUGGGUCUAAUACCGGAUAGGAUCCAUUUUUAGUGUGAUGGUUGGAAAGUUUUUUCGGUGUAGGAUGAGCUCGCGGCCUAUCAGCUUGUUGGUGGGGUAAUGGCCUACCAAGGCGGCGACGGGUAGCCGGCCUGAGAGGGUGGACGGCCACAGUGGGACUGAGAUACGGCACAGACGCCGAAGGGAGGCAGCAGGGGGGAAUAUUGAACAAGGGGCGCAAGCCGGAUGCAGCGACGCCGCGGGGGGGAUGACGGCCUUAGGGUUGUAAACUCCUUUAGCUAGGGACGAAGCUUUUUGUGACGGUACCUAGAGAAGAAGCACCGGCUAACUACGUG